AGCCAAACAUAAGUGAUAAAACUGUUUUUGGUCAGGUGGAAGCAUCACCAAUGGUACUUGGAGAACAAGCUUGCAUCUUUUAUUUUCAAAUAAAAACAGUAGGACAUCUCUGCCAGAGGGAAUUGUAACAGAUUUCCAAUAUCUAGGAAUGAUUGAUGAAGCCGAGAUUAGGAGGUGGCCUAACAUUAUUCUUUUGUGUUUUGGUAAGUCUUCAGGGAGGCAUUUAAGUAAGCAUAAUCCAGGAGUUAAAUCAACAUGGAACUCAGUGAUAGAUAUGAUCAUUUCUAAUAUUUUUUGCCAAUAGUUGGAUAGUUUCGGGCAUGACCAAAAAAUGUGGUAUAAAGUACCUAUCUCAAAAUUAAAUUAGAUGUGGAGAGGUGGAGUCGAAACAUCUUAAAUGGGGAGAAAUACCAGCGAUAAAUUAAUUUUACAUGAGAUUUUAAGUGGGAAAUGCAAUGUGUAAUGCCUAUCAAUGCAAGUAAUGAUUCAUGCCAUUCCUCCACUGUGAAUACCUCACCCAGAUCACUCUCCCACUUUGUCAUGUAUGGCAAUUUCAUGCCUCCGUCUCCUGCAAAAAAGGCAUAGCACAUGUAAAUGGUUUGUUUCUGACCAGGGUCUGAAAUUAAAACCUUUUCUAAAUUUGACAUUUCC
Pelobates cultripes (western spadefoot toad) is the source of this 651-nucleotide non-coding RNA. NCBI's taxonomy places the organism in Eukaryota, Metazoa, Chordata, Amphibia, Anura, Pelobatidae. The record is from the annotation of a GenBank genome assembly.